GCCCCCGUCGCUCAGGGGCGAAAGGGGAAAACUGCUUCCUAUUUCUCCGAUUUAUGAAAAAAUGGCCGAAAGCUUCAUCAGGCAGGGUUAGAGUCUAACCCUAACCUCAGCCCUCCAUCCACUCCCCUUGACGAUCAGACUGCAGUUGGACCAAAGUGCCACCUUAUUGGAGCAUCACUAUUCACUGCGACCACGGGCGAUUGUUCAAACCACGGAAAGGUCUGGGAGAGAGAAAGCGGAAAUGAAAACGGUUUUCUUGCAGCCAGCCCCACAGAGCCCCAUGAGGUGGUUUGGCAAUAAAUCCUAGCUCUUCUGCUCCUU
Molecule: long non-coding RNA, 321 nt
Organism: Ornithorhynchus anatinus (platypus)
Lineage: Eukaryota; Metazoa; Chordata; Mammalia; Monotremata; Ornithorhynchidae
Exons: 2
Source: RefSeq, a predicted model, not a curated record